GAGUUUGAUCCUGGCUCAGAUUGAACGCUGGCGGCAGGCCUAACACAUGCAAGUCGAGCGGUAGCACAGAGAGCUUGCUCUCGGGUGACGAGCGGCGGACGGGUGAGUAAUGUCUGGGAAACUGCCUGAUGGAGGGGGAUAACUACUGGAAACGGUAGCUAAUACCGCAUAACGUCGCAAGACCAAAGAGGGGGACCUUCGGGCCUCUUGCCAUCAGAUGUGCCCAGAUGGGAUUAGCUAGUAGGUGGGGUAACGGCUCACCUAGGCGACGAUCCCUAGCUGGUCUGAGAGGAUGACCAGCCACACUGGAACUGAGACACGGUCCAGACUCCUACGGGAGGCAGCAGUGGGGAAUAUUGCACAAUGGGCGCAAGCCUGAUGCAGCCAUGCCGCGUGUAUGAAGAAGGCCUUCGGGUUGUAAAGUACUUUCAGCGGGGAGGAAGGUGUUGAGGUUAAUAACCUCAGCAAUUGACGUUACCCGCAGAAGAAGCACCGGCUAACUCCGUGCCAGCAGCCGCGGUAAUACGGAGGGUGCAAGCGUUAAUCGGAAUUACUGGGCGUAAAGCGCACGCAGGCGGUCUGUCAAGUCGGAUGUGAAAUCCCCGGGCUCAACCUGGGAACUGCAUUCGAAACUGGCAGGCUAGAGUCUUGUAGAGGGGGGUAGAAUUCCAGGUGUAGCGGUGAAAUGCGUAGAGAUCUGGAGGAAUACCGGUGGCGAAGGCGGCCCCCUGGACAAAGACUGACGCUCAGGUGCGAAAGCGUGGGGAGCAAACAGGAUUAGAUACCCUGGUAGUCCACGCCGUAAACGAUGUCGACUUGGAGGUUGUUCCCUUGAGGAGUGGCUUCCGGAGCUAACGCGUUAAGUCGACCGCCUGGGGAGUACGGCCGCAAGGUUAAAACUCAAAUGAAUUGACGGGGGCCCGCACAAGCGGUGGAGCAUGUGGUUUAAUUCGAUGCAACGCGAAGAACCUUACCUACUCUUGACAUCCAGAGAACUUUCCAGAGAUGGAUUGGUGCCUUCGGGAACUCUGAGACAGGUGCUGCAUGGCUGUCGUCAGCUCGUGUUGUGAAAUGUUGGGUUAAGUCCCGCAACGAGCGCAACCCUUAUCCUUUGUUGCCAGCGGUCCGGCCGGGAACUCAAAGGAGACUGCCAGUGAUAAACUGGAGGAAGGUGGGGAUGACGUCAAGUCAUCAUGGCCCUUACGAGUAGGGCUACACACGUGCUACAAUGGCGCAUACAAAGAGAAGCGACCUCGCGAGAGCAAGCGGACCUCAUAAAGUGCGUCGUAGUCCGGAUUGGAGUCUGCAACUCGACUCCAUGAAGUCGGAAUCGCUAGUAAUCGUAGAUCAGAAUGCUACGGUGAAUACGUUCCCGGGCCUUGUACACACCGCCCGUCACACCAUGGGAGUGGGUUGCAAAAGAAGUAGGUAGCUUAACCUUCGGGAGGGCGCUUACCACUUUGUGAUUCAUGACUGGGGUGAAGUCGUAACAAGGUAGCCGUA
RNAcentral lists this ribosomal RNA (1503 nucleotides) under uncultured bacterium. RNAcentral describes it as "bacterial SSU rRNA". It matches the Rfam family "Bacterial small subunit ribosomal RNA". The record is from RNAcentral.